GAUGAAGAACGUAGUGAAAUGCGAUACUUGGUGUGAAUUGCAGAAUCCCGCGAAUCAUCGAGUUUUUGAAUGCAAGUUGCGCCCGAAGCCAUUCGGCCGAGGGCACGUCUGCCUGGGUGUCACGCAUCGUUGCCCCCCCAAACUCCGGUUCGGGCGGGGCGGAAGUUGGCCUCCCGUGCGUGCCUGCGCGCGCGGUUAGCCCAAAAGCGAGUCCUCGGCGACGAGCGCCACGACAAUCGGUGGUUUUUUUACCCUCGUUCCUCGUCGUGCGUGUCCCGUCGCCCGAACGCGCUCUUGUGACCCUCACGCGUCGCCUCGGCGGCGCUCCCAACGCGACCCCAGGUCAGGCGGGACUACCCGCUGAGUUUAAGCAUAUCAAUAAGCGGAGGA
This 390-nucleotide unclassified non-coding RNA is filed under the name soil metagenome. RNAcentral describes it as "partial contains 5.8S ribosomal RNA, internal transcribed spacer 2, and large subunit ribosomal RNA". The stretch from base 1 to 122 matches the Rfam family "5.8S ribosomal RNA", at positions 35 to 154 of the family's 154-position model. The record is from RNAcentral.